RNAcentral lists this ribosomal RNA (437 nucleotides) under bacterium. RNAcentral's name for it is "partial 16S ribosomal RNA". It matches the Rfam family "Bacterial small subunit ribosomal RNA", at positions 355 to 776 of the family's 1533-position model. The record is from RNAcentral.
UGGGGAAUCUUGCGCAAUGGCCGCAAGGCUGACGCAGCGACGCCGCGUGGGGGAGGAAGGGCUUCGGCUCGUAAACCCCUGUUGCCCGGGGCGAACAUCCCGUUUCGACGGGACUGACGGUACCGGGUGAGGAAGCACCGGCUAACUCCGUGCCAGCAGCCGCGGUAAUACGGAGGGUGCGAGCGUUGUCCGGAAUCACUGGGCGUAAAGGGCGCGUAGGCGGCCGAGCAAGGUCGCGGUGAAAGCCCGGGGCUCAACCCCGGGUCGGCCGUGGCAACUACUCGGCUCGAGCACUGUAGGGGCGGGUGGAAUUCCGGGUGUAGCGGUGGAAUGCGUAGAGAUCCGGAAGAACACCGGUGGCGAAGGCGGCCCGCUGGGCAGGAAGGCUCGCAAGAGCCGGCUGACGCUGAGGCGCGACAGCGUGGGGAGCAAACAGG